UAACGAAUAUUCCGCAAUGGGCGAAAGCCUGACGGAGCAAUGCCGCGUGUGGGACGAAGCGGUUUCGCCGUGUAAACCACUGUCAGGGAAUAGAAAAGAUGAUCAUUUCCAGAGGAAGGGGCGACUAACUCUGUGCCAGCAGUCGCGGUAAGACAGAGGCCCCGAGCGUUAGUCGGAAUUACUGGGCUUAAAGGGUGCGUAGGCGGGCGUGUAAGUGUCUUGUGAAAGCCCUGGGCUCAACCCAGGAACCGCAGGGCAUACUGCACGUCUCGAAGAAGCUAGAGGCCGGUGGAACGAUCGGUGGAGCGGUGGAAUGCGUAGAGAUCGAUCGGAACGCCAAGGGUGAAGACAACCGGCUGGGGCUUUCUUGACGCUGAGGCACGAAAGCGUGGGGAUCAAACAGGAUUAGAUACCCCCGUAGUCC
Molecule: ribosomal RNA, 424 nt
Filed under: uncultured bacterium
Lineage: Bacteria
Description: bacterial SSU rRNA
Rfam family: Bacterial small subunit ribosomal RNA
Source: RNAcentral